Molecule: ribosomal RNA, 253 nt
Filed under: uncultured bacterium
Lineage: Bacteria
Description: partial 16S ribosomal RNA
Rfam family: Bacterial small subunit ribosomal RNA
Source: RNAcentral
UACGUAGGGGGCUAGCGUUGUUCGGAAUUACUGGGCGUAAAGGGCUCGUAGGCGGCCAACUAAGUCGGACGUGAAAUCCCUCGGCUUAACCGGGGAACGGCGUCCGAUACUGGAUGGCUUGAGUUUGGGAGAGGGAUGCGGAAUUCCAGGUGUAGCGGUGAAAUGCGCAGAUAUCAGGAGGAACACCGGUGGCGAAGGCGGGUCUCUGGGCCGUAACUGACGCUGAGGAGCGAAAGCAUGGGGAGCGAACAGG